RNAcentral lists this microRNA precursor (179 nucleotides) under Brassica napus (rape). Its description in RNAcentral is "MIR9563 microRNA precursor family". It matches the Rfam family "MIR9563 microRNA precursor family". The record is from Rfam by way of RNAcentral. Lineage: Eukaryota; Viridiplantae; Streptophyta; Magnoliopsida; Brassicales; Brassicaceae.
GGAAGUUAAGAAACUGUUUUUUAACUUUUAACUAAAAAAGUUAAGAACCGGUUCUUAAAUAAGGACUUUAAAAACCGGUUCUUAAAUAAGGACUUUAAGAACCGGUUCUUAAAUAAGGUAUUUAAGAACCGGUUCUUAACUUUUUUAGCUAAAAGUUAAGAAACAGUUUUUUAACUUCC